This 835-nucleotide ribosomal RNA is filed under the name uncultured bacterium. RNAcentral describes it as "bacterial SSU rRNA". It matches the Rfam family "Bacterial small subunit ribosomal RNA", at positions 97 to 916 of the family's 1533-position model. The record is from RNAcentral.
GGCGAACGGGUGAGUAACACGUGGGCAACCUGCCCCUCGCAGGGGGACAACCGGAGGAAACUCCGGCUAAUACCCCGUACGCUUGUUGGAUCGCAUGGUCCGGCAAGGAAAGGUAGCUUCGGCCAUCCGGCGAGGGAUGGGCCCGCGUUGCAUUAGCUAGUUGGUGGGGUAACGGCCUACCAAGGCGACGAUGCGUAGCUGGUCUGAGAGGAUGAUCAGCCACACUGGGACUGAGACACGGCCCAGACUCCUACGGGAGGCAGCAGCCAGGAAUCUUGGGCAAUGGGCGAAAGCCUGACCCAGCAACACCGUGUGGGCGAUGAAGGCCUUAGGGUCGUAAAGCCCUGUUGAUAGGGACGAAGGGCGAAGGGUUAAUAGCCCCUAGCUUGACGGUACCUUUCGAGGAAGCCCCGGCUAACUACGUGCCAGCAGCCGCGGUAAUACGUAGGGGGCGAGCGUUGUCCGGAAUUAUUGGGCGUAAAGAGCGUGUAGGCGGUUCGGUAAGUCUGCUGUGAAAUCCUGGGGCUCAACCCUGGGCGUGCAGCGGAUACUGCCGGGCUAGAGGGUGGUAGAGGCGAGUGGAAUUCCGAGUGUAGCGGUGAAAUGCGCAGAUAUUCGGAGGAACACCAGUAGCGAAGGCGGCUCGCUGGGCCACACCUGACGCUGAGACGCGAAAGCGUGGGGAGCGAACAGGAUUAGAUACCCUGGUAGUCCACGCCGUAAACGAUGGAUACUGGGUGUGGGGGGAGUCGAAUCCCUCUGUGCCGAAGUUAACGCGUUAAGUAUCCCGCCUGGGGAGUACGGCCGCAAGGCUAAAACUCAAAAGAAUUGACGG